This 1045-nucleotide long non-coding RNA is filed under the name Homo sapiens (human). RNAcentral's name for it is "HSALNT0376968". Lineage: Eukaryota; Metazoa; Chordata; Mammalia; Primates; Hominidae. The record is from RNAcentral.
CGCUCAAGGGUUUGAUGAAGACAGUUCAUAUUUCAAAUAGAUUGCUGAACCCUUAAGGUGGAGGAGAUAUUUAGGAAGGCUAUUCCUGGACUGAGCGGGGAAGAAACAAGUAGAGUGUGAUAAAUUGAAGGUGCAGGAGAAAGAUGAAGAGGCACGAUCCUAAGAGGACUGGAGGAGGCUCAGAUGAAAGGCAGCAAUGCAGCUAAAAUGUUCCCACAAACGUUCAGGUACAGGGGAGCUGUCAAGAUCAGCGUGCCACGGAGGCAAAACAAGGAACUUGGAAGAGCCAUAAACUGCACACCACCCCCUCCUCAAAUAACCCCAGGCUUAGCAAAGGAGCCUCUGCAAGCAGAGAUGGAGUUUGUAAGGAUUAAAUUUCCUCCUCCCACAAGCCCCCAAUUGCAAAAAGCCAAACUUUCUGGGUUCUUCCUACCAAACGACUCCCUUCUGACCACCAGAGGUCAGGCUGCAGUUAGGAACAGGCAGUAGGUCCCCAAAGGAGAGAUCUGACCUAGUUCCUCCCAGGCCCUCCGGGGCACGUCUGGAGCUCCCCCAGACUCACCCAAGCUCGCCCAGCAGGGGCCUGUGGAUUCCUUUCUCCUCUGUAAUGGACAGGGGCAGGCACACCAGAAGCUGCCUGGAGUGUGAUAAACCGAAGGUACGAAGAAAGAUGAAGAGACAACAUUUAAGAGGGCUGGAGGAGGCGCAGCGGAGGAGAAUGAGCCUCCUGAAUGAGUCAUCCCCCACUUCAACUUAUUAGGUUUGAGAACCACUCACCUAAGAAUCCCGCGAAGCAGGGAGCUGAUUAAAAAGCAGAUUUGGCUGGGCACGGUGGCUCACGCCUGUAAUCUCAGCACUUUGGGAGGCCGAGACGGGUGGAUCACGAGGUCGGGAGAUCGAGACCAUCCUGGCUAACACGGUGAAACCCCAUCUCUACUAAAAAUACAAAAAAAUUGGCCAGGCGUGGCGGCGGGCGCCUGUAGCUCCAGCUACUCGGGAGGCUGAGGCAGGAGAAUGGCGUGAACCCGGGAGGCGGAGCUUGCAG